CAGGUGCCCUAUUUUCAGUAUUUUUAUUUUGGUCAUUCUAACAGACAUUUAUUGGAUAUUGCUACAUGUUCCUAGGCACUGGAGACAGAAAAGCGAACAAGAAUCAACCCUGUCUCUGCCCUUGUGGAGCUCUCAAAAUAGUGGAGUAGAAAGACAAUCAAAUAAGACAUAAGUAUAAAAUUGAAACCAGAAUGUGAAGAGCAUGAUAAUAUGAGGGCCCACCAUAAUAGACAUGACACAGUCAUGGAGGGAAGACUUUCAUGAGGAGACAGACACUGAGCAGGAAUAAAGUAAACGUCCAUUUCUGUUGAGGCAAGAGAUGUUAAAGUCCUGGGCAGAAAAUGGAAAUAUUCCGAAGAAAUCAGGAAGAGGGGAUGUUUCAAUAUUUUCCUAAUAAAAGAAGUCUUUGAUGAGAAGAGUACUUUAUUUUAGAAUGUUCUUGCUUUUUGUAGUUUGAGCCUUUUAAAAGAAGAGCCUACUUUCACAUGGUUUCUAUACAGAGUGUAAUUCUACCU
Molecule: long non-coding RNA, 515 nt
Organism: Lutra lutra (Eurasian river otter)
Lineage: Eukaryota; Metazoa; Chordata; Mammalia; Carnivora; Mustelidae
Exons: 3
Source: RefSeq, a predicted model, not a curated record